ACACUGAUAUUUUUCUCUUUGUCUUCCUAGGGUUACCUUGGUGGAAGUCAACAAUCUUGACUUGGAGCAGUUGGAUGGUCGACCACUGGAAGCACUGACGCCCUACACUUCGGUGAAGCCCAAUAGAUAAAGACCAUCGACUGUCCGAGCCCCCCAGGAAGUAACCCAUCCACCAGAACCAGUGAGUUUGGAUCAGUCUGAUUCUCUGUGCUCUGAGUCGGAGGGGGAUCAACUUGAGGACCUAGGGGUUCUGCCCAACACCCAGAUGUGAAUCCACCUGAUGUCCUCCAUUACCAACCACCCUCCAACUUUUCAUUGCAUCAUCUACAGCUACUGUUGUUGUCAUUAUUUGCUAAGAAAGAGCAAGAAAACUAUCAUACUGGGCACAUAAAAUGUGAGAUACACAGAUUAACUAAAAACACUAGCACUGCAAACACUCAGAACAAAGAGAGCAGCAGUGCCUGGACUUUGCAGUCUCCCUCAAGUCCCCCUUCUGAGACUGACUGCCUGUUGAGAACAAGUGACAGGCAGAACCUCCCACCAACACAACAACCACCUUCUCUAUAUUCCACACAGCAGAAUUCAGUAUUUUAGUCUAUGAUUGCCAUGUGAGUGCACAACAAAUCAGUGAAAAAAUAUUAAUGACACAACUGCACCAAAAACAAUCAAAGUUUAUGUAUUAAAUAUCUUAAAUAUUGCCAGGUUGGUUUUCACAGCUGUUUCA
Long non-coding RNA from Salmo salar (Atlantic salmon), 724 nucleotides. RefSeq lists it as uncharacterized. The record is from RefSeq and is a predicted model, not a curated record. Lineage: Eukaryota; Metazoa; Chordata; Actinopteri; Salmoniformes; Salmonidae.